GAUGAACGCUGGCGGCGUGCUUAACACAUGCAAGUCGAACGGAAAGGCCAGUGCUUGCACUGGUACUCGAGUGGCGAACGGGUGAGUAACACGUGGGUGAUCUGCCCUGUACUUCGGGAUAAGCUUGGGAAACUGGGUCUAAUACCGGAUAGGACAACUUUUUGGAUAUUGUUGUGGAAAGCUUUUGCGGUAUGGGAUGAGCUAGCGGCCUAUCAGCUUGUUGGUGGGGUUAUGGCCUACCAAGGCGUCGACGGGUAGCCGGCCUGAGAGGGUGUACGGCCACAUUGGGACUGAGAUACGGCCCAGACUCCUACGGGAGGCAGCAGUGGGGAAUAUUGCACAAUGGGCGAAAGCCUGAUGCAGCGACGCCGCGUGGGGGAUGAAGGCAUUCGGGUUGUAAACUCCUUUCGCUAGGGACGAAGCUUUUUUGUGACGGUACCUGGAGAAGAAGCACCGGCUAACUACGUG
Molecule: ribosomal RNA, 468 nt
Filed under: uncultured bacterium
Lineage: Bacteria
Description: partial 16S ribosomal RNA
Rfam family: Bacterial small subunit ribosomal RNA
Source: RNAcentral